Molecule: transfer RNA, 74 nt
Filed under: Deltaproteobacteria bacterium
Lineage: Bacteria; Pseudomonadati; Myxococcota; Myxococcia
Description: tRNA-Arg
Rfam family: tRNA
About the family: Transfer RNA (tRNA) molecules are approximately 80 nucleotides in length. Their secondary structure includes four short double-helical elements and three loops (D, anti-codon, and T loops).
Source: RNAcentral
GGGCGUUUGGCUCAGUUGGAUAGAGCGACGGCCUCCGGAGCCGUAGGUCACAGGUUCGAGCCCUGUAACGCCCG